GCACCGGGUGCGUAACACGUAUGUAACCUACCUUGAUCAGGGGGAUAGCCUCUCGAAAGAGAGAUUAAGACCGCAUAAUAUGAAGACACAGCAUUGUGAUUUCAUCAAAUAUUUAUAGGACGAAAUGGGCAUUGCGGAACAUUAGUCUAGCUUGGUAAGGUAACGGCUUACCAAGGCUACGAUGUUUAGGGGAUCUUGAGAGGAUGACCCCCCACAUUGGGACUGAGACACUGCCCAGACUCAUACGGGGGGCUGCAGUAACGAAUCUUCCGCAAUGCACGCAAGUGUGACGGAGCGACGCCGCGUGUGGGACGAAGCCCCUCGGGGUGUAAACCACUGUCAGGGGAUAGAAAGUUCUGAUCAUCCCCAGAGGAAGGCACGGUAACUCUGUGCCAGCAAGCCGCGGUAAGACAGAGGUGCCAAGCGUUAGGCGGAAUCACUGGGCUUAAAGCGUGUGUAGGCGGACCGUUAAGUACCUUGUGAAAUCCCCCCGGUUCAACCGGGGGGGACUGCUUGGGUAAUUACUGGGCGGGUCCUUUGGGGGCCACUUCCAGGGGCAGAUUGGGAAACCAGGGCGGGUGGAAGCCGGGGUGAAAUUGGCGGUUAAAUUUUUCGGCCCUGGGAAAACGCCCAAAAGGGAGAAAAUUCAAGGUU
This 654-nucleotide ribosomal RNA is filed under the name uncultured bacterium. RNAcentral describes it as "bacterial SSU rRNA". It matches the Rfam family "Bacterial small subunit ribosomal RNA", at positions 99 to 909 of the family's 1533-position model. The record is from RNAcentral.